RNAcentral lists this ribosomal RNA (1350 nucleotides) under Pomacea canaliculata. Its description in RNAcentral is "SSU rRNA". It matches the Rfam family "Eukaryotic small subunit ribosomal RNA". Lineage: Eukaryota; Metazoa; Mollusca; Gastropoda; Architaenioglossa; Ampullariidae. The record is from RNAcentral.
CCCAACAUCUACCAGUAGUCAUAUGCUUGUUCUCAAAGAUUAAGCCAUGCCUCGUACGGUGAAACCGCGAAUGGCUCAUGAAAUCAGUCGAGGUUCCUUAGAUGAUCCAUUUCUACUUGGAUAACUGUGGCAAUUCUAGAGCUAAUACAUGCCUCGAGCCGGCGAGGCAUCUUUCAAAUGUCUGCCUUAUCAACUGUCGAUGGUACGUGAUAGGCCUACCAUGUUGACAACGGGGAAUCAGGGUGUGAUUCCGGAGAGGGAGCAUGAGAAACGGAUACCACAUCCAAGGAAGGCACCAGGCGCGCAACUUACCCAAUCCCAGCUCGGGGAGGUAGUGACGAAAAAUAGCAAUACGGAACUCUUUUGAGGCUCCGCAAUUGGAAUGAGUACACUUUAAACCCUUUAACGAGGAUCUAUUGGAGGGCAAGUCUGGUGCCAGCAGCCGUGGUAAUUUCAGCUCCAAUAGCGUAUAUUAAAGUCGUUGUGCUUAAAAAGCUCGUAGUUGCAUCUGAGGCAUGGUCGUGCGGUUCGUCUCGCGACGGUCACUGCGCGAAGCCUGAGCGUGCGCGGCUCUUCGCAGGGUCGUCUUCGCUAGACGAACAACUGCGAAAGCAUUUGCCAAGCAUAUUUUCAUUAGUCAAGAACUAGUCAGAGGUUCGAAGACGAUUAAAUACUGUCAUUGUUCUGACCAUAAACGAUGCCAACUAGCGUUGUGCAAGUGUCGCUUCAUCGACUCUGAAACCAAAUUUUUCGGGUUCCAGGGGAAGUAUGGUUGCAAAGCUGAAACUUAAAGGAAUUGACGGAAGGUCACCACCAGGAGUGGAGCCUGCGGCUUAAUUUGAUUCAACACGGUAAAACACACCCAGUCCGCACACUGUAAGCAUUGACAGAUUGAUAUCUUUUUCUUGAUUCGGUGGGUGGUGGCGCAUGGCCGUUCUUAGGUGGUGGAGCGAUUUGUCUGAUUAAUUCCGAUAACGGGCGAGUCUCUAGCCUGUUAAAUAGUUCACCGAUUCUUCACGCAUCGGUGCUAACUUCUUAGAGGGAGAAGUGGCGUUUAGCCACAAGAGAUUGAGCAAUAACAGGUCUGGCUGCCUUUAGAAGGAAUCAAGGUGGAUGUGACCAUGCUUUGAAAACAGUGCGAACCCCUUGAACGUCCUUCGUGAUAGGGAUUGGGGGCUUGAAAUUCUUCUUAUCAACGAGGAAUUCCCAGUAAUUACGUCGAUGCCCUUUCUACACACCGCCUGUCACUACUACCGAGUGAACGGUUUAGUGAGGGGUAGCUGGCCUCCGCGUCGAGAGUCUGAAAAAGUCUAUCAAACCGGAGGGAAAGCUUUUGCCGAGUCAGGCUCU